AGAGUUUGAUCCCGGCUCAGAAUCAACGCUGGCGGCGCGCUUAACACAUGCAAGUCGCACGAGAAAGCAUCCUUCGGGGUGUGAGUACAGUGGCGCACGGGUGAGUAACACGUGGGUUACCUGCCCUCCGGUGGGGAAUAACUCCGCGAAAGUGGAGCUAAUACCGCAUACGACCUUUGGGUGAAGGUCCUAGGAUGCCGGAGGAGGGGCCCGCGGCCGAUUAGCUUGUUGGUGAGGUAAUGGCUCACCAAGGCUGCAAUCGGUAGCCGGCCUGAGAGGGCACACGGCCACACUGGCACUGAGACACGGGCCAGACUCCUACGGGAGGCAGCAGUGGGGAAUCUUGCACAAUGGGGGAAACCCUGAUGCAGCGACGCCGCGUGAGCGAUGAAGUCCUUCGGGGCGUAAAGCUCUCUCAGUGGAAACGAUAAUGACGGUACCCAUAGAAGAAGCUGCGGCUAACUACGUGCCAGCAGCCGCGGUAAUACGUAGGCAGCGAGCGUUGUUCGGAGUUACUGGGCGUAAAGAGUGCGUAGGCGGUUCCGUAAGUCUGGUGUGAAAUCUCCUGGCUCAACUAGGAGGGUGCGCCGGAAACUGCGGAGCUUGAGCACGGGAGAGGAAAGCGGAAUUCCUGGUGUAGCGGUGAAAUGCGUAGAUAUCAGGAGGAACACCGGUGGUGUAGACGGCUUUCUGGACCGUUGCUGACGCUGAGGCACGAAAGCGUGGGGAGCAAACAGGAUUAGAUACCCUGGUAGUCCACGCCCUAAACGAUGCAUACUUGGUGUGGGCACUUCAGUGUGUCCGUGCCGGAGCUAACGCGUUAAGUAUGCCGCCUGGGGAGUACGGUCGCAAGGCUGAAACCCAAAGGAAUUGACGGGGGCCCGCACAAGCGGUGGAGCAUGUGGUUCAAUUCGACGCAACGCGAAGAACCUUACCUGGGCUUGAACUGUAGUGGAUAGUCCUUGGAAACAGGGAUUUUCCCUUCGGGGACUGCUAUAGAGGUGCUGCACGGCUGUCGUCAGCUCGUGUCGUGAGAUGUUGGGUUAAGUCCCGCAACGAGCGCAACCCUUGCCCUGUGUUGCCACUCCCUUCGGGGAAGCACUCUCAGGGGACCGCCAGCGACAAGCUGGAGGAAGGUGGGGACGACGUCAAGUCAUCGUGGCCUUUAUGUCCAGGGCUACACACGUGCUACAAUGGCCGGUACAAAGCGUAGCCAACCCGCGAGGGGGAGCCAAUCGCAAAAAACCGGUCUCAGUUCGGAUUGCAGGCUGCAACUCGCCUGCAUGAAGCUGGAAUCGCUAGUAAUGGCGUAUCAGAACGACGCCGUGAAUACGUUCCCGGGCCUUGUACACACCGCCCGUCACAUCACGAAAGUGGAUUGCACUAGAAGUCUGCAGGCUAACCUUCGGGAGGCAGCGGCCCAAGGUGUGAUCCAUGAUUGGGGUGAAGUCGUAACAAGGUA
RNAcentral lists this ribosomal RNA (1462 nucleotides) under metagenome. Its description in RNAcentral is "bacterial SSU rRNA". It matches the Rfam family "Bacterial small subunit ribosomal RNA". The record is from RNAcentral.